RNAcentral lists this transfer RNA (63 nucleotides) under Streptomyces sp. SID3915. RNAcentral describes it as "tRNA-Lys". It matches the Rfam family "tRNA", at positions 9 to 63 of the family's 71-position model. Rfam says of the family: Transfer RNA (tRNA) molecules are approximately 80 nucleotides in length. Their secondary structure includes four short double-helical elements and three loops (D, anti-codon, and T loops). RNAcentral also lists the same sequence under 1 other name. The record is from RNAcentral. Lineage: Bacteria; Bacillati; Actinomycetota; Actinomycetes; Kitasatosporales; Streptomycetaceae.
AGCUCAGUUGGUUAGAGCAGCUGACUCUUAAUCAGCGGGUCCGGGGUUCGAGUCCCUGACGGC